This 478-nucleotide ribosomal RNA is filed under the name uncultured bacterium. Its description in RNAcentral is "partial 16S ribosomal RNA". It matches the Rfam family "Bacterial small subunit ribosomal RNA", at positions 28 to 507 of the family's 1533-position model. The record is from RNAcentral.
GAUGAACGCUGGCGGCGUGCUUAACACAUGCAAGUCGAACGGGAAUUAUUUUAUUGAAACUUCGGUCGAUUUAAUUUACUUCUAGUGGCGGACGGGUGAGUAACGCGUGGGUAACCUGCCUUAUCCAGGGGGCUAACAGUCAGAAAUGACUGCUAAUACCGCAUAAGCGCACAGAGCUGCAUGGCUCAGUGUGAAAGACUCCGGUGGUAUAAGAUGGACCCGCGUUGGAUUAGCUUGUUGGCAGGGUAACGGCCUACCAAGGCGACGAUCCAUAGCCGGCGUGAGAAGGUUAACGGCCACAUUGGGACUGAGACACGCCCCAGACUCCCACGGGAGGCAGGAGUGGGGAAUAUUGCACAAUGGGGGAGACCGUGAUGGAGCGACGCCGCGGGAAGGAAGAAGUAUCUCGGUAUGAAAACUUCUAUCAGCAGGGAAGAUAGUGACGGUACCUGACUAAGAAGCCCCGGCUAACUACGUG